GACAGAGGGUGCAAACGUUGUUCGGAUUUACUGGGCGUAAAGCGCGUGUAGGCGGCUUGGCAAGUUGGAUGUGAAAGCCCACGGCUCAACCGUGGAAGCGCAUCCAAAACUGCUUCGCUCGAGUCUCGGAGAGGAAGGUGGAAUGCUUGGUGUAGAGGUGAAAUUCGUAGAUAUCAAGCAGAACACCUGCGGCGAAGGCGGCCUUCUGGACGAUGACUGACGCUGAGACGCGAAAGCGUGGGGAGCAACAGG
This 252-nucleotide ribosomal RNA is filed under the name uncultured bacterium. Its description in RNAcentral is "partial 16S ribosomal RNA". It matches the Rfam family "Bacterial small subunit ribosomal RNA", at positions 524 to 775 of the family's 1533-position model. The record is from RNAcentral.